Non-coding RNA from Podarcis lilfordi (Lilford's wall lizard), 69 nucleotides. Lineage: Eukaryota; Metazoa; Chordata; Lepidosauria; Squamata; Lacertidae. The record is from the annotation of a GenBank genome assembly.
GGAUAGUUCAGUUGGUAGAGCAUAAGACUUUUACUGUCAGGGUCGUGGGUUCAAGCCCCGGGUUAGACG